This is a long non-coding RNA of Capsicum annuum, 583 nucleotides long. RefSeq lists it as uncharacterized. The transcript has 3 exons. The record is from RefSeq and is a predicted model, not a curated record. NCBI's taxonomy places the organism in Eukaryota, Viridiplantae, Streptophyta, Magnoliopsida, Solanales, Solanaceae.
GCUGUGCGAUGUUGCCUCCUCUCUUCAACCUCAUUUUUUUGGUUCUUCUUCUGCGGGUUGUUAAUCAUUUUGCCUUGAUUUCUCCGUAUCUUUAUGAAUCAACUUUAAAGAAUGGAUUAGUUGCAAGUUUUUGCUGAAAGUCCCUUCUUAAAAGGAGAUUUGUUCUAUUGGGUGGGCUCAUGAUUGUGUGCAUGGGAAGCUCAAUACUACCACCCCAUAGUAGACAAGCUUUAUUCAAGUUUCUAUUUCUCAAUCUGACCCUGGACUUUCCCUUUUACCGAAUCAUUUUUAAUAUCUGACUAGUAUACACUAGCAUUUCAAUUAAUUCAUCCGUUGUGGUGUUGUAAUUAUCAUAAAGUGAUAAAUUUAUACUGCAUCCUUAGUUCCCCAACCCCCUAUCUCAUUUUAGGCGAUACUCUCAAGUAUGGAGUUCUCAACUUGUCACUGUUUAGAAUGUUUUUUCCUAUCGAAUUCAUGCUGUUAAUGUAAAUAAAACUGCAAUCCCCUGUAUCUACUUCUAGAUUUUCUACAUAGCCUUCUAUUUUAUUUCCUUUUCUCAUUGUAUGCUGAAACUUAAUCUGCU